Molecule: ribosomal RNA, 528 nt
Filed under: uncultured bacterium
Lineage: Bacteria
Description: bacterial SSU rRNA
Rfam family: Bacterial small subunit ribosomal RNA
Source: RNAcentral
GGCUACGAGGACGAACGCUGGCGGCGUGCCUAAUACAUGCAAGUCGAAAGGCUUUCUAUGGAAGCUUGCUUCCACUGAGAAGAUAGUGGCGAACGGGUGAGUAACACGUGGGUAACCUGCCCAUAAGAGGGGGAUAACAUCCGGAAACGGGUGCUAAUACCGCAUAGUUUUCUUGAUCGCAUGAUUGAGAAAGGAAAGACGGCCUUUGUGCUGUCGCUUAUGGAUGGACCCGCGGCGUAUUAGUUAGUUGGUGAGGUAACGGCUCACCAAGACGAUGAUACGUAGCCGACCUGAGAGGGUGAUCGGCCACAUUGGGACUGAGACACGGCCCAAACUCCUACGGGAGGCAGCAGUAGGGAAUCUUCCGCAAUGGACGAAAGUCUGACGGAGCAACGCCGCGUGAGUGAAGUAAAAGGGUUUUCGGAUCGUAAAACUCUGUUGUCAGAGAAGGACAGGUUGGAGAGUAACUGCUCCAGCCUUGACGGUAUCUGACCAGAAAGCCACGGCUAACUACGUGCCAGCAGCCGC